UUAAGUUCACUUGUGUGCCAUGCCUAACAUGCUUGCUAUCCCUCUAUAGUAGGUUGUGUGAUGUAUAGUUAAAUAACUCUAGGUGCCGAUGUCUUGCAUGAUCUUAUGUUUGCCUUGAAUGCUAUUAUGUGAUGCAUCUCAUAUUACCAUUCUUCAUAUUCAUGCUCUUGCAUCUUGCAUCUCAUCUAGAUAUGCUAGAUAAACCACAUGAAGGAUGUGAUUAUGGAACCGAACCCGAAGACGGUGUAUGGUGGACCUAUCCCGAAGAUGGAAG
RNAcentral lists this long non-coding RNA (274 nucleotides) under Setaria italica (foxtail millet). RNAcentral describes it as "long non-coding RNA (SITA_LNC002279)". The record is from RNAcentral. Lineage: Eukaryota; Viridiplantae; Streptophyta; Magnoliopsida; Poales; Poaceae.